Prionailurus viverrinus (fishing cat) is the source of this 491-nucleotide long non-coding RNA. RefSeq lists it as uncharacterized. The record is from RefSeq and is a predicted model, not a curated record. NCBI's taxonomy places the organism in Eukaryota, Metazoa, Chordata, Mammalia, Carnivora, Felidae. The transcript has 3 exons.
GUUGGGGAGUGUGGAGCAUGAAGCUGUAGGUCCAGCUGGAUGGUUCUGAACCUCACCUUCCAGGAUCCACCAGGACAGUUAGCCUCCUGGAAAACAAGUCUGUUCAGUUAAGAACCACCACCACACACCACCCCCUGCCCCCGGUUGGACCAACUCCCUGUCCACUCCUCACCCUAUAUAGCAGGGCUCCAACAGUCCCAGGAGAAGAACAGCCGAGAUGCAGACCCCACAUCUGCUGGAACUCUGGACCUUGCCUUACUGGGCACCAGGCAAGGCCCCACCUCCUUUGUUUCGUCAUUCGGCUGCUUACCCCCACCGGUAUCCCGCGUCCCCAAGGCACUCCGCGCAGAAACUGUCCUCGGUUGCUAUCACCAUGGCGACUACAGCAGCGCCCCGCCUCUUCACCCCUGGAAAGCCUCCACCAAGCCCAUCACCGCGGCAACGAACUCACCAGGCUCUGCAAGCGCACUGGCCGCGCCCAGCCGUUUAGA